Molecule: ribosomal RNA, 506 nt
Filed under: uncultured bacterium
Lineage: Bacteria
Description: partial 16S ribosomal RNA
Rfam family: Bacterial small subunit ribosomal RNA
Source: RNAcentral
GAUGAACGCUAGCUACAGGCUUAACACAUGCAAGUCGAGGGAUAACGAGAGGAAAGCUUGCUUUCCUUGUCGACGACCGGCGCACGGGUGAGUAACGCGUAUCCAACCUGCCCCCAACUAGGGAAUAACCUUGCGAAAGUAAGACUAAUACCCUAUAAUUUCCUCAGAUGACAUCUGACGAGGAAUAAAGAUUUAUCGGUUGUGGAUGGGGAUGCGUCUGAUUAGCUUGUUGGCGGGGUAACGGCCCACCAAGGCAACGAUCAGUAGGGGUUCUGAGAGGAAGGGCCCCCACAUUGGAACUGGGAAACGGUCCAAACUCCUACGGGAGGCAGCAGCGGGGAAUAUUGGUCAAUGGGCGGAAGCCUGAACCAGCCAAGUAGCGUGCAGGAUGACGGCCCUAUGGGUUGUAAACUGCUUUUAUACAGGAAUAAAGUUAGCCACGUGUGGUUAUUUGUAGGUAAUGUAUGAAUAAGGACCGGCUAAUUCCGUGCCAGCCGCCGCCGUAA